UACGAAGGGGGCUAGCGUUGCUCGGAAUCACUGGGCGUAAAGCGCACGUAGGCGGCUUUCUAAGUCAGGGGUGAAAUCCUGGAGCUCAACUCCAGAACUGCCUUUGAUACUGGAGAGCUUGAGUCCGGAAGAGGUGAGUGGAACUCCGAGUGUAGAGGUGAAAUGCGCAGAUAUCAGGAAGAACACCCGUGGCGAAAGCGGCUCUCUGGAACGGUACUGACGCUGAGACGCGAAAGCGUGGGGAGCGAACAGG
RNAcentral lists this ribosomal RNA (253 nucleotides) under uncultured bacterium. RNAcentral describes it as "partial 16S ribosomal RNA". It matches the Rfam family "Bacterial small subunit ribosomal RNA", at positions 524 to 776 of the family's 1533-position model. The record is from RNAcentral.